AUGAUACUCUAUUACCUUUACGAUGAUAGCAGGCCUCCUGGGAGCGCUCCUCUUGCAGCUUGUCAGAAGGGGGGAAUGCACUGCCAAAAAGAAACCAUCAUAGGAGCAGAGGGAUUAGUGAUAGCUUUCUGGGUACAGUCUUCCAAAUGCAGUUCUGUUUAUUUACAAGCAUUUCCAGCUUUGUUUCCCUACAACAUGCUAGUGUGCAGGUCAGUGGGCAGGAGACAGAAAAAUUGGACACUUUCUUCCUGCUUGGGUUCCUGCUUACUCAUGGACAGAAAAAGUUCCUGCUGCCCAGAUAGUCCCAAGCUGAGACUGCACAAGCGCCUGCUUCUCCUUGUACUGUACCCAGUCUCCUAUUGCAUCGCAUCCUUCUGACACCAGCUAAGUCCUGCUGCUGUCAGGUACAGCUGGAUAACUGUCUGCAGUGAUGGAGUGGCUGCCAACCCCGUUGUUUGGUAUUUUUUUCCUUCCUGCUUGAAACUUCUACUUUAGAACUUCACUGGAAUCAAGCUUUGUAGUACAUAGACAGUGGAAAUGUUGCCUGGGAGAAAUAAGAGAACGACUGUGAAAGUACAGAACCUAUAGAGAGGAGAAAAGUAAGGACAACCUACCUGGUCACCCCUGAAGUUGCAUAUCAGCCACACUGUAUGGAGAGAGACAAGACUAGAUGUGUCUGGUGGGGCUCCUACCGUGCCAAGCAGUGCACAGAUUUGAAGGCAACUACAGUUCCUAUUUUAAAUGUACAUAUGACAUUGCCUUUUAAUUAUUUCUUCAGAGUUUCAAUCAUAUAUUUUCCAGCCACUAUGCCCCUGAGCUCUGGCUGCCCGCUCUUUGCUUACCUCCUGCUAAGUGUAGCCUAGGAGAGGUCCUUUGUGUUUAUCCAGAGCCCAGAGUUCAACUCCUCACCUUUCACUACUGCUGCGGAAACUUUAUGAGGGUUUAGGCAAAGGAGUUGGGGGUGUGUUUCCAGGCAGGAGUUGGCUGUCCCCUCCCAGACAAGUCAUGUGAAGCCAGGGCCAUGUCACUGGCAGUACUGGCAGCGUUCCCUGUGCAUGUGCACAUGCUGUCAUUCGGUUAAGCAUUCAGAAUACAUCUCUGCAGGUAAGGGUUUUUCACCAAGAGAUAAUGACCGUGUCUGAGAAUAAAGAAGGCAGCUACACCUUAAAAAUAAAUAGUUUUUGCAAUGCCCUAACUCAUGUUUUAAGCACAAAAUAGCUAAUGCCAGUGCAACUGAAUGAGUCAAAGGUGUAUUUGUUAAAAGCAUAAGGGUUACUGCGGAUCGUGGCCAAAAACAGCAGUCCAAGAUUUCGUUGUGUUGGCCUAACUACAGAUUUCACCAUGAGUUGCUGCAUAGUGUCUUCAGGCAGUUGCAGGUACUGGUUCUAUCUGUAAGGAUGAGACGCAAAUAGGUUAGAAUGUGCUUGGGCUCAGUUGUGUUUAAAUAUGCUUACAGACCAUAAAGUCUGUAAUUACAGUAUUGCAAGAUGUAAUUUGCAGUAGUAUUUGUCUUUAUUAUGCAGAUGUGGCCCUAAUCUACUACUUAUCUAAUAUACAGUGUCCUAUUAUGAGCUAAACUCUGAGAAUCAUGGAAUCAUUAAGGUCGGAAAAGACCUCCAAGAUCAUCUAGUCCAACCGAAGAAGUGAGGGUGUUACUGGACAUAUGGUACCAGAUUUAUUUUUCCACUCAAGGAAAGACAAGGACCAUCUCCUCUCCCUCACGGUUAGCUUUGCAUGGCCAUACAUGUGUGAAGCAAUAUAUGUUGUUGUAAGCAGCAUCUCAAGCUAGCAGUAGUUAAUGCUGCAUAGCACAAUAGUAGAUCUGCAAGCACGAAUAGUGGUGGUGCCUAGUUGUCUCUGCCUGACUUCUUCCACCUACCAUUAUAUCUAUAUUUUUAUCAAUUAACUUUUUCUUGAAGGAAUAUUCCUGAACUCCCCCCUCUCAACCAGUGCUGUGUGUCAUCAGUAUGGUACACUUUUGCUGCUGUUUCAUUUCAGAUUUAGAAGCUUUGCUGUUUUUAUCGCCACUUUCUCUUGACUCAUAGCAUCAAUUCCCUGGUGGGGAGUUUUUUUAGUUCUCAGCUGUUGCUACUAAUUGUUAUUUACUGUAGACAGCAGACUCAACAGGGAGCAACGCAAUUCCUCCAAACUAUUUGCACAUGUACCGAGGAGGAAGUGGGAAAUGGCAUCUCAGGAGAAUGAACGCUGUCCCGUCCUUUUUUUGGACUUGAUCUUGCACUGGGAGGGCUGUUCAUCCAAUAUGCUAAAGACUGUGAUAAGCCCGUGAAUUUCACAGACCUCAGUGUUCUUUUUUAACCUCUGUUCAAUUCAGACACGGGUUAUAUCUGAAAGAUUUAUGCCCAGUAGUAACAGACAGAUUAGAGCAUUAGUCAUAAGGAUGUAAACUUCAUUUACCUGCUGCUGCAAGUCUGGGUCUAGUGCAGGUCAGCAGUAACCUGAAAGCUGCUUCUGUUGGUUAGCCUGGGCCCUAAACUGGUACUGUCACCAGAAACCCUCCAGUUAAUGCAAUCCCUGCCAAGGCUCAGCUCUGAGGAAUGCACAAAGUCUGAUUUUCUCUUAGUAGAAACGCUUUUUUGAUCAGACACUUCAUAAAAUAACUUCUCUGUGUUAAAGGUGAUAACUUUCUGCCAAUUUAGCAUGUUGCGUGACUUGCACAACCUGAGUGAAGUUCUGAGCUGAGGAGGCAAAAUGGGAACUAUCGCCUACAGAGAUAAACGUGGCAUCAAAACACAGCUCAGAAGAUGCUGACAGCAUCAAGGUCGCUUGAUAGAGAGCAGCGUCCAGAAAAAACCCUCUCCUUUUACAUCUAUGUUUCUGCUGAGGCAUGAAUGCUAAAUCUGGGAGACUGAACUGUGCCUGGAGUGCGAGAGAUACCAAGAUUUAUGUAUUUUUUCCAGGUACUUUUAUUUAUCUGAUUGGUAAGCAGGCAGCUGAGUCAGUGAAGGCUUCCAGCUGACCCCGAAGGGUGGGCAGAAGUAAUUCUGCAGCACUAUGAGGAAUAUAAUCUGUUUUUAACAGAUGCAACCCUGCCCGGGGAGGCUGGCAGCCUGAGGGUGAGGCAAUACGAUGGCAGCGCUUUGACCAGAGAACCUCCACAUCAAUCACGGAUCUGCCAUCAGCCCGCAAAGCAGCGGUGCUGGCGGCUGCGUGACACCAGAAGCCGUGUCGGGCCGUUUUGGGGAAGUUUUGGUGUUAAUGGGACUUAAAUAACGUGUCUGGGGCAGGAGCAGCUGAGCGCUGCCACACGGGGCCGGAACAGAGACCGCUGAGGCGAGGCGGAGCUGGCAGGGCAGGGUCGGGCCGGGUGACAAAGGCCCGCAGCUCCCCCCCCCACCCGCAGCCUUUGGACUCGCCCAAGCUCCGCGCUCUGUGAGCGCUGGGCGAGUCCAUCGCCUGCCUGAGGGGGAGGAGCCGCGGCAUCCCCUCAGCCCAAGGGCAGCGGCUUUGCGCAUGCGCACAGCUCCCCGCGUGGCGCUCCUCCCUCCCAACUCCCCUCCCCUACAGGCGCGCGCGCGGCGGGCGCGCGGCACAGGGCACGUUGCGGCGCGCGCGCGCCCGCUCCCCUCGGCUUUCCCCAGCGCUUCUCGCGAGACCCGGCGACAGGGCGAGGCGGAAAUCCCGCCUUAAAGCCCCGGCGGGAGGCCUUGAGUGCGCCUGCGCGGGGCGCCACAGGCCCGGCCCCGGCUUCCGGGCAGGUAGCGGCGGGGGGAGGGGGAGGGGGAGGGGGAGGGGGGGGCCGGGACCCCUCAGAGCGCCUCAGGGACCCCUCGGAGCCCCCCCGGCCCUGCCCAGGCUCCCCGCAGCCCCCCCGGGCCUGUCCCGGGAGCUUCCCCCCGGGGCCGGGCGGGUGGCGCGGGGCCGCCCCGAGGCGCUCCCGGGGCCGUAACCGGGCUGUGGGGGCGGCAGGGCCCGGUUGGGGCCCGGCUCUGCCUCAGGGUGAGGCCGGGCCUCGCCCAGCGGCCUGCCGGGUGCCUCAGCCCGGGGUGGGUUGGGGUGAGGGGCUCCGGGAGCUGCGCUGUUACCUGUGUCCCCCGCAGCUUCUCCUUCGCCGUGUCUGCAGGCUCCUAAAAUCCCCCAAAUCCUCUAAUAAACUUCACGCGGGCGAUCGGGAGGUGCAAACAGAGCCGUGAGCUGCUUUGCCGGAUCGCUGCUUCCUUCACGUAGAUCUUUGUUCACGUAAAACAC
RNAcentral lists this long non-coding RNA (4206 nucleotides) under Anas platyrhynchos (mallard). RNAcentral describes it as "lncRNA (ENSAPLG00020007630.1)". The record is from RNAcentral. Lineage: Eukaryota; Metazoa; Chordata; Aves; Anseriformes; Anatidae.